GACGAACGCUGGCGGCGUGCUUAACACAUGCAAGUCGAACGGAAAGGCCCUGCUUUUGUGGGGUGCUCGAGUGGCGAACGGGUGAGUAACACGUGAGUAACCUGCCCUUGACUUUGGGAUAACUUCAGGAGACUGGGGCUAAUACCGGAUAGGAGCUCCUGCUGCAUGGUGGGGGUUGGAAAGUUUCGGCGGUUGGGGAUGGACUCGCGGCUUAUCAGCUUGUUGGUGGGGUAGUGGCUUACCAAGGCUUUGACGGGUAGCCGGCCUGAGAGGGUGACCGGCCACAUUGGGACUGAGAUACGGCCCAGACUCCUACGGGAGGCAGCAAUGGGGAAUAUUGCACAAUGGGCGGAAGCCUGAUGCAGCAACGCCGCGUGCGGGAUGACGGCCUUCGGGUUGUAAACCGCUUUCGCCUGUGACGAAGCGUGAGUGACGGUAAUGGGUAAAGAAGCACCGGCUAACUACGUG
This 468-nucleotide ribosomal RNA is filed under the name uncultured bacterium. RNAcentral's name for it is "partial 16S ribosomal RNA". It matches the Rfam family "Bacterial small subunit ribosomal RNA", at positions 28 to 507 of the family's 1533-position model. The record is from RNAcentral.